UAGGGAAUCUUCCGCAAUGGACGAAAGUCUGACGGAGCAACGCCGCGUGAGUGAUGAAGGCCUUCGGGUCGUAAAACUCUGUUGUUAGGGAAGAACAAGUACCGGAGUAACUGCCGGUACCUUGACGGUAUCUAACCAGAAAGCCACGGCUAACUACGUGCCAGCAGCCGCGGUAAUACGUAGGUGGCAAGCGUUGUCCGGAAUUAUUGGGCGUAAAGCGCGCGCAGGCGGGCCUUUAAGUCUGAUGUGAAAGCCCACGGCUCAACCGUGGAGGGUCAUUGGAAACUGGGGGACUUGAGUGCAGAAGAGGAAAGCGGAAUUCCACGUGUAGCGGUGAAAUGCGUAGAGAUGUGGAGGAACACCAGUGGCGAAGGCGGCUUUCUGGUCUGUAACUGACGCUGAGGCGCGAAAGCGUGGGGAGCAAACA
This 427-nucleotide ribosomal RNA is filed under the name uncultured prokaryote. RNAcentral describes it as "bacterial SSU rRNA". It matches the Rfam family "Bacterial small subunit ribosomal RNA", at positions 355 to 774 of the family's 1533-position model. The record is from RNAcentral.